Molecule: ribosomal RNA, 648 nt
Filed under: uncultured Bacteroidota bacterium
Lineage: Bacteria; Pseudomonadati; Bacteroidota
Description: bacterial SSU rRNA
Rfam family: Bacterial small subunit ribosomal RNA
Source: RNAcentral
AGUCGAGGGGUAGUUGUUUUCGGACAUGAGACCGGCGCACGGGUGCGUAACGCGUAUACAAUCUACCUUUUACAGAGGGAUAGCCCAGAGAAAUUUGGAUUAAUACCUCAUAGUAUUUUUGAAUCGCAUGAUUUGAUUAUUAAAGUUCCAACGGUAAAAGAUGAGUAUGCGUCCCAUUAGCUAGAUGGUAAGGUAACGGCUUACCAUGGCAACGAUGGGUAGGGGUCCUGAGAGGGAGAUCCCCCACACUGGUACUGAGACACGGACCAGACUCCUACGGGAGGCAGCAGUGAGGAAUAUUGGACAAUGGGCGCAAGCCUGAUCCAGCCAUGCCGCGUGCAGGAAGAAGGUCCUAUGGAUUGUAAACUGCUUUUAUACAGGAAGAAACACCUCUACGUGUAGAGACUUGACGGUACUGUAUGAAUAAGGACCGGCUAACUCCGUGCCAGCAGCCGCGGUAAUACGGAGGGUCCAAGCGUUAUCCGGAAUCAUUGGGUUUAAAGGGUCCGUAGGCGGCCAAAUAAGUCAGUGGUGAAAGCCCAUCGCUCAACGAUGGAACGGCCAUUGAUACUGUUUGGCUUGAAUUAUUAGGAAGUAACUAGAAUAUGUAGUGUAGCGGUGAAAUGCUUAGAGAUUACAUGGAAUACC